AAAUAAGAAGCAAUUUGCAUUUAGUUUCGACCUAAAAGACAGAGUUUAUUUUACUCCUUAUUUA
This 64-nucleotide transfer RNA is filed under the name Junonia litoralis. RNAcentral's name for it is "tRNA-Arg". Lineage: Eukaryota; Metazoa; Arthropoda; Insecta; Lepidoptera; Nymphalidae. The record is from RNAcentral.